Molecule: ribosomal RNA, 468 nt
Filed under: uncultured bacterium
Lineage: Bacteria
Description: partial 16S ribosomal RNA
Rfam family: Bacterial small subunit ribosomal RNA
Source: RNAcentral
GACGAACGCUGGCGGCGUGCUUAACACAUGCCAGUCGAACGGAAAGGCUCUGCUUUUGUGGGGUGCUCGAGUGGCGAACGGGUGAGUAACACGUGAGUAACCUGCCCUUGACUUUGGGAUAACUUCAGGAAACUGGGGCUAAUACCGGAUAGGAGCUCCUGCUGCAUGGUGGGGGUUGGAAAGUUUCGGCGGUUGGGGAUGGACUCGCGGCUUAUCAGCUUGUUGGUGGGGUAGUGGCUUACCAAGGCUUUGACGGGUAGCCGGCCUGAGAGGGUGACCGGCCACAUUGGGACUGAGAUACGGCCCAGACUCCUACGGGAGGCAGCAGUGGGGAAUAUUGCACAAUGGGCGGAAGCCUGAUGCAGCAACGCCGCGUGCGGGAUGACGGCCUUCGGGUUGUAAACCGCUUUCGCCUGUGACGAAGCGUGAGUGACGGUAAUGGGUAAAGAAGCACCGGCUAACUACGUG